GUAGAGUGGCGAACGGGUUAGUAACGCGUGGGAACAUACACAGCACAGGGGGAUAACCAUUGGAAACGAUGGCUAAUACCGCAUACGCCCUAUUGGGGAAAGAUUUAUCGGUGUUGGAUUGGCCCGCGUUAGAUUAGCUAGUUGGUGGGGUAAUGGCUCACCAAGGCGACGAUUUAUAGCUGGUUUGAGAGGAUGAUCAGCAACACUGGAACUGAGACACGGUCCAGACUCCUACGGGAGGCAGCAGUCGGGAAUAUUGUGCAAUGGGGGCAACCCUGACACAGCCAUGCCGCGUGAGUGAAGAAGGCCUUAGGGUUGUAAAGCUCUUUCAGAUGUGAGGAUGAUGACGAUAGCAUCAGAAGAAGCUCCGGCUAACUUCGUGCCAGCAGCCGCGGUAAUACGAAGGGAGCUAGCGUUGUUCGGAAUUACUGGGCGUAAAGGGCGUGUAGGCGGAUUAUCAAGUUAGGGGUGAAAUCCCGGGGCUCAACCUCGGCACUGGCUUUAAGACUGAUAAUCUAGAGUAUGUGAGGGGAU
This 534-nucleotide ribosomal RNA is filed under the name uncultured bacterium. RNAcentral describes it as "bacterial SSU rRNA". It matches the Rfam family "Bacterial small subunit ribosomal RNA", at positions 90 to 659 of the family's 1533-position model. The record is from RNAcentral.